Molecule: ribosomal RNA, 452 nt
Filed under: uncultured Defluviicoccus sp.
Lineage: Bacteria; Pseudomonadati; Pseudomonadota; Alphaproteobacteria; Rhodospirillales; Rhodospirillaceae
Description: bacterial SSU rRNA
Rfam family: Bacterial small subunit ribosomal RNA
Source: RNAcentral
UGGAGCAUGUGGUUUAAUUCGACGCAACGCGCAGAACCUUACCAGCCCUUGACAUGGGGGUCGCGGAGACCAGAGAUGGACUCCAUCAGUUCGGCUGGACCCCACACAGGUGCUGCAUGGCUGUCGUCAGCUCGUGUCGUGAGAUGUUGGGUUAAGUCCCGCAACGAGCGCAACCCUCGUCUUCAGUUGCCAGCGGUUCGGCCGGGCACUCUGAAGAAACUGCCGGUGACAAGCCGGAGGAAGGUGGGGAUGACGUCAAGUCCUCAUGGCCCUUACGGGCUGGGCUACACACGUGCUACAAUGGCGGUGACAAUGGGAUGCAAUGGGGCGACCCUGAGCUAAUCUCAAAAAGCCGUCUCAGUUCGGAUUGUACUCUGCAACUCGAGUGCAUGAAGGUGGAAUCGCUAGUAAUCGCGGAUCAGAACGCCGCGGUGAAUACGUUCCCGGGCCUU